UGACUACAGGGGUAUCUAAUCCCUUUCGCUCCCCUAGCUUUCGUCCCUCAGUGUCAGUGCAGACCCAGCAAGGCGCCUUCGCCACCGAUGUUCUUCCCAAUAUCUACGCAUUUCACCGCUACACUGGGAAUUCCCCUUGCCCCUAUCGCACUCUAGCCACCCAGUUUCAAUUGCCCUUAUAGAGUUAAGCUCUACGCUUUAACAACUGACUUGGAUAACCACCUACGGACGCUUUACGCCCAAUAAUUCCGGAUAACGCUUGCCUCCUCCGUAUUACCGCGGCUGCUGGCACGGAGUUAGCCGAGGCUGAUUCGAUAGGUACCGUCAUUGUGUUCUUCCCUAUCAAAAGAGGUUUACAACCAGUAGGCCUUCCUCCCUCACGCGGUCUUGCUCCGUCAGGCUUUCGCCCAUUGCGGAAAAUUCCCCACUGCUGCCUCCCGUAGGAGUCUGGGCCGUGUCUCAGUCCCAGUGUGGCUGAUCAUCCUCUCAGACCAGCUACUGAUCGUCGCCUUGGUAGUCCCUUACACUACCAACUAGCUAAUCAGACGCGAGCUCUUCCUCAGGCCAUAUAAGUUUUACCUCUCGGCACAUCGGGUAUUAGCAGUCGUUUCCAACUGUUGUCCCCAUCCUAAGGGUAGAUUCUCACGCGUUACUCACCCGUCCG
This 664-nucleotide ribosomal RNA is filed under the name uncultured cyanobacterium. RNAcentral's name for it is "partial 16S ribosomal RNA". Lineage: Bacteria; Bacillati; Cyanobacteriota. The record is from RNAcentral.